UGGGGAAUUUUGCACAAUGGGGGAAACCCUGAUGCAGCGACGCCGCGUGAUUUAGAAGGCCUUCGGGUUGUAAAAAUCUUUUCUAUGGGAAGAAAAUGACAGUACCAUAGGAAUAAGGACCGGCUAAUUACGUGCCAGCAGCCGCGGUAAUACGUAAGGUCCGAGCGUGGUCCGGAAUCAUUGGGCGUAAAGGGUACGUAGGCGGGUAAGCAAGUUAGAAGUGAAAUCCUAUAGCUCAACUAUAGUAAGCUUUUAAAACUGCUCAUCUUGAGGUAUGGAAGGGAAAGUGGAAUUCCUAGUGUAGCGGUGAAAUGCGCAGAUAUUAGGAGGAAUACCGGUGGCGAAGGCGACUUUCUGGCCAUAACCUGACGCUGAGGUACGAAAGCGUGGGUAGCAAACAGG
RNAcentral lists this ribosomal RNA (402 nucleotides) under bacterium. RNAcentral's name for it is "partial 16S ribosomal RNA". It matches the Rfam family "Bacterial small subunit ribosomal RNA", at positions 355 to 776 of the family's 1533-position model. The record is from RNAcentral.